Molecule: long non-coding RNA, 961 nt
Organism: Gossypium raimondii (Peruvian cotton)
Lineage: Eukaryota; Viridiplantae; Streptophyta; Magnoliopsida; Malvales; Malvaceae
Exons: 2
Source: RefSeq, a predicted model, not a curated record
UUGCCAGCACGCAAAAUGAACUAAAGAUAAGAUAAAAAACCAAAAACCAGCUACUAGGAAAGUAGGUGUAAGAUGGAACGCCUUUGUUUGCUUCAGACCCUUUCCCUUCUACUACGUCUCCUUCAAAUUACCCGAUCAUGGAGACUCAUUACACCCCCUCUUCAGACGUGCCCUAAUCAGGCGGAUCCGUCCACCAUCGAUCCUCCUCUACUGCAGUCACAGCAAACAUGGGCACACCAUUUGACAGAUAAGUUUCUUUCCAUCUCCUUAUCCCCUUUGUCACCAAUGUGUGGGCUACUUCAUUUGCUUUUCUCAACGUAUACCGGAAACUACAACUUUCAAAACCCCCUUGACAAUUUUUGAGUUUCUAAUGUGUGCCCCUAUUUUAGAUCUAUCAUCACCAUCUACCUACAACUUUUUGAUACUUGUUAAUGUGUCCCCCUCAAUCUCCACCUCUCGAUGGCCCAUACACAGUCCCAACUGCAUCGUCUGGCAGCACACAAGGGCUUCCACCAUAAAUGCCAAUGAGCUCUUCGGCAACCUCCAUCUCUCCAACUCCAGCCUCCAAGGCAAUAUGUUUUGGGCAAGUGCCUCCAUCUCCUGUAUGUAACUGUAUAUUCGACUUACAACAUCCUCAGCCCUCUAUGUUUCCUUAUCACGAACCAAUAUGCUUUUGGCUAACCAUAUUGCCCAUACUACGCAUCUUAUUAUUCCGCAUUGGAAUAGAGAAUUGUUUGUAAAAAUGUAUGUCAUCCACUAUAUAUAAUUAGUUUCUGACAUAUCUUGUGGCCAUAUGUGUAGCAACUGCCAUAUCCCUUACGAAGCUAAUCAGUCCCGAAAGACAUGUUUUGUAGUUUCAGAUCCCUCACCACAUCUUGGGCACUUAGUUGAACCCAUCACCCUUCGUACUGUAAAUUAGAAAAAAUAGAGAUAAAAUUAUAAAAAGCUUUCCAGCUUCUAA